UAAAAAAAAUUAGUUUUUUAAUUAUGGAUUAAACAAUUCUAAUAUAAUGGAGGGUAAAAUGGUCACAACCCAUACAUUCAAUUUAUUUAUUUUUGCUAAAUUACAUUCAGACAAAUUAAAGAAAUCAAAAUCUUCGAAACAAUAACAAUCGAUCUAAACAAAGCCAUCGUAAAAAAAGCCCAACUCUGAGAAUGACAAAUUGUUCAACGAUUCCGGGGACUGCGAAUCACGAAUUUCUCAACUAUUCCAGCGAAGGAUAUAUGGAAACCAUUCCUCGUCAUUUGUGCCCUCCAUUUUCUCUUUAAAACUAAAUAAAACCCUCACACCUUCACUCACCAACUCUUCAAUAGCAGAAAACGACUACUUUGAAGUCUUGCUUUCCUUUUACUUCUCUCAUCAUUUUCCCCCAAAUCUAUCUAAACCAGAUAUGUUAGUAAAAUUUUGUAAACCCAUAUAAAUAUAUAGAGAGAUAGAGACAGGAGAAAGUAUAUGUGUAUAUGGGGAAGAUAUAUAGAGAGACAUCUAAUUAGGGGCAACAAUUGUUGCUAGAAAGGUAAAAAAUGCAAUGGGUUUUCAAAAAUCACCUGCAAAUCCCAAACCAGACUUACCCCCAAAGCUAUCAUCUCUUUCGUUGAGCUCAGCCAAGGUCCAGCAAAAGGAGUUGCGUUCUCGCGCUCAUUCGGCGUAUACUUCUCAUGUGCCUCCGCGCAGGUGCAACCACGUUCGCUGGACGCGGCGGAGUUCUUCCACCUAGUCGAACAAUUGUGUGAGAGAAUCUAGUUUAAAACUGGAGCUUCUAGAACAAAAGCUCCUAAAAGACAAUUUGUGAUUCUCAGAUCGACUUUGGGGCUUCCUUUAGAUCUAGAUGGAUUGUUAUUAUUUUGAAGAUUUUGAUUUGUUUACUUUUUCUAAAUGUAUGAGUUGUGACUAUUUUACCC
Molecule: long non-coding RNA, 938 nt
Filed under: Panax ginseng (ginseng)
Lineage: Eukaryota; Viridiplantae; Streptophyta; Magnoliopsida; Apiales; Araliaceae
Description: long non-coding RNA (PGIN_LNC010916)
Source: RNAcentral